UACGUAGGGACCAAGCGUUGUUCGGAUUUACUGGGCAUAAAGCGCACGUAGGCGGUUCGUUAAGUCAUGUGUGAAAUCCCUCGGCUCAACCGAGGAAUUGCGCCUGAUACUGGCGGGCUAGAGAUCGAUAGGGGUGAGUGGAACUCCAGGUGGAGCGGUGAAAUGCGUAGAUAUCUGGAGGAACACCGGUGGCGAAAGCGGCUCACUGGAUCGAUACUGACGCUGAGGUGCGAAAGCUAGGGUAGCAAACGGG
RNAcentral lists this ribosomal RNA (253 nucleotides) under uncultured bacterium. RNAcentral's name for it is "partial 16S ribosomal RNA". It matches the Rfam family "Bacterial small subunit ribosomal RNA", at positions 524 to 776 of the family's 1533-position model. The record is from RNAcentral.